RNAcentral lists this long non-coding RNA (1662 nucleotides) under Triticum aestivum (bread wheat). RNAcentral's name for it is "long non-coding RNA (TAES_LNC009897)". The record is from RNAcentral. Lineage: Eukaryota; Viridiplantae; Streptophyta; Magnoliopsida; Poales; Poaceae.
CCGUGUUGGUGUCCUAUGUGCCACCCAUGAUGUUCUCUCCUGCAUGGACAUCCCAAAGACGCUCUUAGGUGGCACAUGCGCUGGUCCUAUUGCUGCGUGUGAUGUGCCUUGCUGCUAGGCGUUGAUCCAGUUUGUAAGUUUUUUAGUCCAAUCCAGUUUGUAAGGCUUUUUUUUAGCCCAAUCCAGUUUGUAAGUAGUGCUACGUGAGAGAUGAUCAGAUGAGACGGGCCUGAUAAUCUUGUUGCUGCUGUUGUACUACAUGUCCAUCGGGAGCAAGGUUAGGAGAAAAGAAGAGAAAAGAAGCGGCGAAAGUGACACAGUCCAGUACAGAUCUCGCAUUGAAUCCUCCCCUAUAAGGGUAACAUUCUCUCAUUUGGAUUGAUUAAUGUUGGAAAUUCUGUUUUUCUUCUAAUUUUAAUCCUUCAUUCAGGUAUGCAUCUAAUCAGUUGUACUGCAUCUAAUGUACAUAUGCUGUGUGGCAAAAAGAUGUUUGUAAACUCAAAUACGUAUGCUUCGGAUGUGUCUAAUAUAUGUUACAUUAGCACCAAAUUAGCGCUUCUCAUUAACCAUGCUCCCAUGAUAUCUAACAUAUGCUUCUAAUACAGAGAUCUAAUGUGAUCGCGGACAUUAGAAUCUUACACCCAUCUCGGCAAGCAUGCAGAUUUCUGAAAUCUAAUCAGUUGCAGUGUCAAACCAUUGCUUCGUAUUAGCCUUGCUUCCUACUUUUUUAUUUAUCACAACUUUUUUGCUUCACCCACUACCGACAUGUGCUUUAGUCGCUGCCAGUGUUGCUUCCUGGAGUGAAUUUUUGACACAACCAUUGCCUGUGUGAGCACUUCAUUGUUUCCCAUUGAUGAUUUUACUAUGCAGGUUUCUCUGCCUACAACCUGAUGCAUUGUAAAGAUGUCGAGUACGCUACCACCAAGAUGUGGUGGUCUUAUUGAUGACGGCGAGCUCGCGUGCAUGUGAGAUAGUCCAGUCAGCGUGCUUGCGACGCUAACUAGACGGGUGGAAAAUAAUGUUGUUGUGAUAGCAAUUUUUAUUUCUUAAUAAUUUUUAAAAAUGAGGACAUAUGUAAUUACCAGUUGCAUAUUUUGCCCAGCCCUUCAUUGUCACCAUGGAAGCAAAUUCUCGAUAUAAUUGAAGCAAUGGUUCAUUGUCGUGGAAGCAUAUCCCAUAACGGAAGCAACAUGUGCUUACAACAGAACAAAAAUUUCAUUAUAUUCCAAGGAGAUAGGAGUUUGCUUCCAUCUGCCUAUUCACAACACAAGCAGACACAAAUUAUUCGACACAAAUGAUGGUAACAAUUUAUAUUAUUAUGGAAGCAAGUUGAGUCGAUGAUAGUAUAUUAUAAUUGAGUCGAAUGUUGAGUUGGAUAAAUUUUUUCUUACAUCGGGCUUGCUUGAUUUGUAUGGAGAUACAGGGUUAAUGCUCUGCCGAAUAUGCAUGCAAGGCACUGUUUUGGAUUGAUUGGCAUUUUAUGGCAACCUUCAGAUGUUGAUGCAAAAGACAAGUGACAUGUUACUGUUUUCAUAUGAUCUAUUUAAUUAGCUUUUGUCCAAUGUGGUCAUGGCACAAGGCACAAUUUUGCCAAAUGUAUUGCUUGAUACAGGUAGGGAACAUAAACACAUCUACAUGAGCUAUUUCAUUCUUUGCUUUGCU